Molecule: RNA transcript, 742 nt
Organism: Vicia villosa (hairy vetch)
Lineage: Eukaryota; Viridiplantae; Streptophyta; Magnoliopsida; Fabales; Fabaceae
Exons: 6
Source: RefSeq, a predicted model, not a curated record
UUGGGGAGUGUAAUACCAGCUUCAAGCUUCAGACCACAUUUCACUUUUCACACACACACACACACACUCUCUCUCGAAACCCUAGCAGCCACAAUCUCCUCUCACCGCCGCCAUCGUUUCAUCACUCUCCACCACCAUUGCUCACCAGUCACCACCAUCACUAACCACCACUAUUGCUCACCAGUCACCACCAUCACUCACAAGCAUUCAUUCAUUCAUUUCAUGUGUUCUCUCUUUAUGAUGAAACAAACUCUAUCCGUCUCUCAUGCUCUCCACACCUCCAAACUUUCCCUUCGCCGUUUCUCUUCUCCUCUUAUCACUUUCGUUUGCAAGUUGGAUGCAUUUUUUCAGAUCUGUGAGCUGAAGGUGAAAAGGCAUUAAUGGAACGGAAGUUUGAAAGGGAAGCAUGGAAUGAGCUUGUGAUGCUGCUUGUUGUUAUCUUGUUGUGUAGUGUAAACUUUUGUUGUCUUGUUUGGUUUAUAAGUGUUCCAUGUGAUCAACACUAGGAGUGAUACAUGUAGGAAAAAGGAGGUUAGAAGCUUGGAGCAGAUGAAAGAAAAUCUCCUUAUAUAACCAAUGGAGAUAUGUACAUAUGGCUAAAGUAUCUUUGCAAAUGUAUAAACAAGUUAUAAACAACAGCAUUUUGCUACGAGGAGGAAGUGUAUUGGUUGUAAAUAUUGAAUGUGUUGGUUGUAAUAAUUUGUAAUUGUAACUUAUAAGUAUUGAAUGUGUCAUUGAAUCA